UGGCUCAGUUGGUAGAGCACAGCGCUUGCAAAGGCGGUGUUGUGGGUUCGAUUCCCAC
Molecule: transfer RNA, 58 nt
Filed under: Salmo salar (Atlantic salmon)
Lineage: Eukaryota; Metazoa; Chordata; Actinopteri; Salmoniformes; Salmonidae
Rfam family: tRNA
About the family: Transfer RNA (tRNA) molecules are approximately 80 nucleotides in length. Their secondary structure includes four short double-helical elements and three loops (D, anti-codon, and T loops). Further hydrogen bonds mediate the characteristic L-shaped molecular structure. tRNAs have two regions of fundamental functional importance: the anti-codon, which is responsible for specific mRNA codon recognition, and the 3' end, to which the tRNAs corresponding amino acid is attached (by aminoacyl-tRNA synthetases). tRNAs cope with the degeneracy of the genetic code in two manners: having more than one tRNA (with a specific anti-codon) for a particular amino acid; and 'wobble' base-pairing, i.e. permitting non-standard base-pairing at the 3rd anti-codon position.
Source: Rfam by way of RNAcentral